This 463-nucleotide ribosomal RNA is filed under the name Vreelandella stevensii. RNAcentral's name for it is "partial 16S ribosomal RNA". It matches the Rfam family "Bacterial small subunit ribosomal RNA", at positions 339 to 795 of the family's 1533-position model. Lineage: Bacteria; Pseudomonadati; Pseudomonadota; Gammaproteobacteria; Oceanospirillales; Halomonadaceae. The record is from RNAcentral.
CUACGGUGGGCAGCAGUGGGGAAUAUUGGACAAUGGGCGAAAGCCUGAUCCAGCCAUGCCGCGUGUGUGAAGAAGGCCUUCGGGUUGUAAAGCACUUUCAGUGGGGAAGAAAGCCUUGGGGCUAAUACCCUCGAGGAAGGACAUCACCCACAGAAGAAGCACCGGCUAACUCCGUGCCAGCAGCCGCGGUAAUACGGAGGGUGCGAGCGUUAAUCGGAAUUACUGGGCGUAAAGCGCGCGUAGGCGGUCUGAUAAGCCGGUUGUGAAAGCCCCGGGCUCAACCUGGGAACGGCAUCCGGAACUGUCAGGCUAGAGUGCAGGAGAGGAAGGUAGAAUUCCCGGUGUAGCGGUGAAAUGCGUAGAGAUCGGGAGGAAUACCAGUGGCGAAGGCGGCCUUCUGGACUGACACUGACGCUGAGGUGCGAAAGCGUGGGUAGCAAACAGGAUUAGAUACCCAGUAGUC